GUACCUACGGGGGGCAGCAGUCGGGAAUAUUGCGCAAUGGAGGAAACUCUGACGCAGUGACGCCGCGUAUAGGACGAAGGUCUUCGGAUUGUAAACUAUUGUCGUUAGGGAAGAGAAAGGACAGUACCUAAGGAGGAAGCUCCGGCUAACUACGUGCCAGCAGCCGCGGUAAUACGUAGGGAGCAAGCGUUAUCCGGAUUUACUGGGUGUAAAGGGAGCGCAGGCGGCACGGCAAGCCUGAUGUGAAAGCCCGCGGCCCAACCGCGGGACUGCAUUGGGAACUACCGGGCUGGAGUGCCGGAGAG
RNAcentral lists this ribosomal RNA (305 nucleotides) under uncultured bacterium. Its description in RNAcentral is "bacterial SSU rRNA". It matches the Rfam family "Bacterial small subunit ribosomal RNA", at positions 335 to 656 of the family's 1533-position model. The record is from RNAcentral.